Molecule: non-coding RNA, 1018 nt
Organism: Pelobates cultripes (western spadefoot toad)
Lineage: Eukaryota; Metazoa; Chordata; Amphibia; Anura; Pelobatidae
Source: the annotation of a GenBank genome assembly
CAGAGCUCCCCAGCAAUAAUACUCCCAGUAAUGUGUCUGAGUGUAUAACAUAGCUCCACAGCAAUAAUACUCCCAGUAAUGUGUCUGAGUGUAUAACAGAGCCCCAAAGUAAUAAUACUCCCAGUGAUGUGUGUGAGUGUAUAACAGAGCUCCACAGCAAUAAUACUCCCAGUGAUGUGUCCGAGUGUAUAACAGAGCCCCACAGCAAUAAUACUCCCAGUGAUGUGUCCGAGUGUAUAACAGAGCUCCACAGCAAUAAUACUCCCAGUGAUGUGUCCGAGUGUAUAACAGAGCUCCACAGCAAUAAUACUACCAGUGAUGUGUCCGAGUGUAUAACAGAGCUCCACAGCAAUAAUACUCCCAGUGAUGUGUCCGAGUGUAUAACAGAGCUCCACAGCAAUAAUACUCCCAGUAAUGUGUCUGAGUGUAUAACAGAGCUCCACAGCAAUAAUACUCCCAGUAAUGUGUCUUAAUGUGUCUUUAACCACUUCCUGAAGCUAAGGCGUGCUAUGAGGGCUUUAAAGUGCUAAUGGACUCCCAGAGUAACUUAUCUAUACCUAUCCAUAUCUGUCUCUUCCUAAAGAGCCACACUCCAUUCUCACCUCCAGCUCUGCUACUUUUCCACCUUGUGUGGUGGCUGUCACCCUUGCUGCCCUGUUGUGUAUUUGUACCCCACCUCCUCUAGAGACUGUAAGCUCGUUUGAGCAUUGCCCUCAAUUACCUAUCGUUCCUGUGUCACUGUGUAAUUGUCUCAUUUAUUGUAAAUUUCCCUCCCUUUCAUAAUAUUGUAAAGCAAUGUGGAAUUAGUUGGCGUAAUAUAAAUACCAAUAAUAAUAAUAAUAAUUAAUAAAGCCGUUAGGGCUGCAUGGCACGCAUAGGACCUUCUCCAGACAGGAUACUUACCCUGCUAGCCGCAUCAGAUUGGGGGGACUGCCUGACAACGCAGCCAGUCCCUCUACAGCCAAUCCCGCCAACUACAGUCAUGUGAUUGCAGCGACACCGCAAUCACAUGACUUGG